Molecule: unclassified non-coding RNA, 210 nt
Filed under: Hevea brasiliensis (rubber tree)
Lineage: Eukaryota; Viridiplantae; Streptophyta; Magnoliopsida; Malpighiales; Euphorbiaceae
Source: RNAcentral
UUAAGAUGUCACUUCUCCCAACAACUAGCAACCUCAUUUUAUUCUUCAAUGACUCACAAAUGCAGUUUUGUUAGAUUACAGAUUGCUUUUUUGAAAUGAAGAUGUUUGGAUAUAUUAUUAGUUCCGCAACUUAUGGCAAAAGGAUUCCUAUGAUAUGGUACUCUAGAUUUCCAAUGGCACAAGUCAAUGUCGCCUGUGGACUUUAGAGUU